Molecule: long non-coding RNA, 441 nt
Filed under: Ananas comosus (pineapple)
Lineage: Eukaryota; Viridiplantae; Streptophyta; Magnoliopsida; Poales; Bromeliaceae
Description: long non-coding RNA (ACOM_LNC003171)
Source: RNAcentral
AAGGCUCUAGAAAUGCCCUCCAACGGACGUUACGACGAAGUCUCGGUUUUCUUGGUCCAAACGAUGCUCAAUCGGCCUUAGUUUGCCGAUAGCUCUUGACCCACUCAACGAAUAUCAAAUCCGACUUCGCCCCCGCGUUUAGGCACCUAGCAAUUAGGUUAGAGGAGGGUCAAAUGAGAUCGAUCCUCUACUUUUCCAAAAACCCCAUUUUGGUGCCCUAGGGUUAGCAUCAAGCUAAACCCAUCUCAAAACCCUAGAUUCUAGCUCCAAUCUCACCAUUCAUGGUGCUAGGGAUCCAUUUGAUCCCAUCCAAAGAGCUAAAACCCAAAAACCCUAAAUUCCACAACUAGGGUUAGAAGCCUACCUCUUGUUGUAGCUUCAAAGAGAGAAGAGAGGAAGAGGAAGAGGUCCAAAAGCUUCCCAAGCUUGAUCUCUUUCUUC